GCCAGGUUUGGUGGCGCACGCCUGUAAUCCCAGUGGCUUGGAAGGCUGAGACAGGAGGAUCAAAAGUUCAAAGCCAGCUUCAGCAAAAGCCACGUCAGUGAGAUCCUGUUUCUG
This 114-nucleotide small RNA is filed under the name Marmota monax (woodchuck). The record is from RNAcentral. Lineage: Eukaryota; Metazoa; Chordata; Mammalia; Rodentia; Sciuridae.